UGGGUGGGGUAUUUAUAGGCCCCAACCCAAUUCAAAUUUGGAGCUCAAAACGAUCAAAUCCUGGAAUUUCGGGAUCAGGCGGUUGCACCUCCUGACUGGAGAGGUUGCACCGCCUGGCAGAGCUCGAAGACCGAGCUCAGGCGGUGCCUCCUCUCUGUCAGGGAGGUUGCACCGCCUAGUCUUGCUCGAAGACUGAGCCCCAGGCGGUGCCACCUCCUGGCUGGGGCGGUUGCACCUCCCAGUCUCGCUGGGAGACAUAGCCUGGGCGGUGCUACCUCCUGGCUGGGGCGGUGCCACCUCUUUCACUAUUUCAGCUCACUUGGUUUGGCUCCAAACUUGGCCCAAACCAG
This 350-nucleotide long non-coding RNA is filed under the name Musa acuminata (dwarf banana). Its description in RNAcentral is "long non-coding RNA (MACU_LNC010940)". The record is from RNAcentral. Lineage: Eukaryota; Viridiplantae; Streptophyta; Magnoliopsida; Zingiberales; Musaceae.